AACGAACGCUGGCGGCAGGCUUAACACAUGCAAGUCGAGCGCAUCCUUCGGGGUUAGCGGCAGACGGGUGAGUAACGCGUGGGAAUCUACCUUUUGCUACGGAAUAGCUCCGGGAAACUGGAAUUAAUACCGUAUGUGCCCUUAGGGGGAAAGAUUUAUCGGCAAGAGAUGAGCCCGCGUUGGAUUAGCUAGUUGGUGGGGAAAAGGCCUACCAAGGCGACGAUCCAUAGCUGGUCUGAGAGGAUGAUCAGCCACAUUGGAACUGAGACACGGCCCAAGCUGCUGCGGGUGGCAGCAGUGGGGAAUAUUGGACUAUGGGCGCAGGCCUGAUCCAGCCAUGCCGCGUGAGUGAUGAAGGCCUUAGGGUUGUAAAGCUCUUUUACCAGAGAAGAUGAUGACAGUAUCCGGAGAAGAAGCCCCGGCUAACUUCGUG
RNAcentral lists this ribosomal RNA (433 nucleotides) under uncultured bacterium. RNAcentral's name for it is "partial 16S ribosomal RNA". It matches the Rfam family "Bacterial small subunit ribosomal RNA", at positions 29 to 507 of the family's 1533-position model. The record is from RNAcentral.